GCCAGCAGCCAUAUCACCCUGCAACUCACAACUGGCAGCCCACUGAAGCUAAGGAGGUGUGAGCCUGGUCAGUACCUGGAUGGGAGAUCUCCUGGGAAAAUAAGGUUGCUGCUGGAA
This is a ribosomal RNA of Lepisosteus oculatus (spotted gar), 117 nucleotides long. NCBI's taxonomy places the organism in Eukaryota, Metazoa, Chordata, Actinopteri, Semionotiformes, Lepisosteidae. The record is from Ensembl.